RNAcentral lists this long non-coding RNA (202 nucleotides) under Lathyrus oleraceus (garden pea). Its description in RNAcentral is "Pisum sativum (pea) long non-coding RNA (PSAT_LNC002514)". Lineage: Eukaryota; Viridiplantae; Streptophyta; Magnoliopsida; Fabales; Fabaceae. The record is from RNAcentral.
UUAGGAGUUGGAUGUAAGACCAACGAUUGGCAUUCCGUUUCCUAUUUGUUAUGUGCUUGGAGUCUGAUGUAAGUCCAGCAAUUGGCAUUCGGUUUCCUGUUUGUGUUUCUUUGUUUGGAGUCUGAUGUAAGUCCAGCGAUUGGCAUUUGGUUUCCUGUUCGUGUUUGCUUUGUGAGGAGUUGGAUGUAAGACCAGCGAUUGG